RNAcentral lists this unclassified non-coding RNA (618 nucleotides) under Hypochaeris maculata. Its description in RNAcentral is "sequence contains ITS1, 5.8S rRNA gene and ITS2". The stretch from base 258 to 413 matches the Rfam family "5.8S ribosomal RNA". Lineage: Eukaryota; Viridiplantae; Streptophyta; Magnoliopsida; Asterales; Asteraceae. The record is from RNAcentral.
UCGAACCCUGCAAGGCAGAACGACCCGUGAACAUGUAAAUACAACCGGGUGAUGGGUAUAAUGGCAUUGGUUGUUAUCCUCAUCCCCUCCUGACAUGUGUUUGUGGCGCCUUGUAUAGGGUGCCAUGGAUGUCAUGUCGGAUCUUAACAAACCCCGGCACGGCAUGUGCCAAGGAAAACAAAAAAAUAAGGUCUCAUCCUGUGUUGCCCCGUUUGCGGUGUGCAUGCAGGUUGUGGCCUCUUAGUAAAAUAACAAACGACUCUCGGCAACGGAUAUCUCGGCUCACGCAUCGAUGAAGAACGUAGCAAAAUGCGAUACUUGGUGUGAAUUGCAGAAUCCCGUGAACCAUCGAGUUUUUGAACGCAAGUUGCGCCCGAAGCCAUCCGGCUAAGGGCACGCCUGCCUGGGCGUCACGCAUCGCGUCGCCCCCCACCACAUGGUGAAGGGGCGGAGAUUGGUCUCCCGUACUCUGUUGCGGUUGGCCUAAAAAUGAGUCCCCUUUAGCGGACACAUGACUAGUGGUGGUUGAACUGACCCUCGUCUUUAUCGUGUGUCGUGAGCUGCUAGGGAAGCCCUCAUAAUAGACCCGAUCGUAUCGUUUUAGUACGGUGCUUCGAC